GGGAGGUAGUGACAAUAAAUCACAAUGCGGAACUUUUAGUUUUGCAAUUGGAUUGAGAACAAUGUACAAAUGUUAUCGAUAAACAAUUGGAGGGCAAGUCUGGUGCCAGCAGCCGCGGUAAUUCCAGCUCCAAUAGCGUAUAUUAACGUUGUUGCAGUUAAAAAGCUCGUAGUUGAAAUGUGGGAUGAAGUAUAUAAUGAAUUUCUAAUUCAAUUGUAUAUUGAUUCCCCUCUCCAAUUUAUUAUUAUGGGUAUUAAUUUAUUUGUAAUAAGAAUUGGUCAUUUACUGUGAGAAAAUUAGAGUGUUCAAAGCAGGCAUUUGCUUGAAUAGAUUAGCAUGGAAUAAUACUAAAAGGCUUUUAUGGUCGAUUUAAUUGGUUUGUUCAUAAAAGCAAGAUUAAAAGGAACAGUUGGGGGUAUUC
RNAcentral lists this ribosomal RNA (421 nucleotides) under Blastocystis sp. P-5. Its description in RNAcentral is "bacterial SSU rRNA". It matches the Rfam family "Eukaryotic small subunit ribosomal RNA", at positions 459 to 893 of the family's 1831-position model. The record is from RNAcentral. Lineage: Eukaryota; Bigyra; Opalinata; Blastocystidae. RNAcentral also lists the same sequence under 1 other name.